UACGUAGGUGGCAAGCGUUAUCCGGAAUUAUUGGGCGUAAAGAGCGCGCAGGUGGUUAAUUAUGUCUGAUGUGAAAGCCCACGGCUUAACCGUGGAGGGUCAUUGGAAACUGGUUGACUUGAGUGCAGAAGAGGGAAGUGGAAUUCCAUGUGUAGCGGUGAAAUGCGUAGAGAUAUGGAGGAACACCAGUGGCGAAGGCGGCUUCCUGGUCUGCAACUGACACUGAGGCGCGAAAGCGUGGGGAGCAAACAGG
This 253-nucleotide ribosomal RNA is filed under the name uncultured bacterium. RNAcentral describes it as "partial 16S ribosomal RNA". It matches the Rfam family "Bacterial small subunit ribosomal RNA", at positions 524 to 776 of the family's 1533-position model. The record is from RNAcentral.